Dreissena polymorpha is the source of this 612-nucleotide long non-coding RNA. RefSeq lists it as uncharacterized. The transcript is spliced from 2 exons. The record is from RefSeq and is a predicted model, not a curated record. Lineage: Eukaryota; Metazoa; Mollusca; Bivalvia; Myida; Dreissenidae.
CGGUCAGUCGGUCUGUCGGUCUGUCGGUCCGUCCACCAGGUGGUUGUCAGACGAUAACUCAAGAACGCUUGGGCCUAGGAUCAUGAAACUUCAUAGGUACAUUGAUCAUGACUCGCAGAUGACCCCUAUUGAUUUUGAGGUCACUAGGUCAAAGGUCAAGGUCACGGUGACCCGAAAUAGUAAAAUGGUUUCCGGAUGAUAACUCAAGAACACUUAGGCCUAGGAUCAUGAAACUUCAUAGGUACAUUGAUCAUGACUCGCAGAUGACCCCUCUUGAUUUUCAGGUCACUAGGUCAAAGGUCAAGGUCACAGUGACCCGAAAUAGUAAAAUGGUUUCCGGAUGAUAACUCAAGAACGCUUAGGCCUAGGAUCAUGAAACUUGAUAGGUAGAUUGAUCAUGACUCGCAGAUGACCCCUAUUGAUUUUCAGGUCACUAGGUCAAAGGUCAAGGUCACAGUGACCCGAAAUAGUAAAAUGGUUUCCGGAUGAUAACUCAAGAACGCUUAGGCCUAGGAUCAUGAAACUUGAUAGGUAGAUUGAUCAUGACUCGCAGAUGACCCCUAUUGAUUUUCAGGUCACUAGGUCAAAGGUCAAGGUCACAGUGACCCGAAA